Molecule: ribosomal RNA, 503 nt
Filed under: Discoglossus pictus (painted frog)
Lineage: Eukaryota; Metazoa; Chordata; Amphibia; Anura; Alytidae
Description: partial 16S ribosomal RNA
Source: RNAcentral
GAGAUAGCUGGUGCUCACGAAAAGAAUUUAAGUUCUGCCUUAUGAUUACUUACGACACUUUAAAGUAGUAAAGCAAUUUUAAGAGUAAUUCAAUAGGGGUACAGCCCGAUUGAAAAAGAAAACAAUCUACACCUUUGGGUAAAGAUCAUAGAAUAUAAGGGUUUUGCCAGAGUGGGCCUAAAAGCAGCCACCUCAACAGAAAGCGUCACAGCUCAUGCAAAGCUUAACCAACAAUACCGUUAAACCCUCUAAACCCAUAAAUACUAAUGAGCCUCUCUAUAUUUUUAUAGAACAGUUUAUGCUAGAACUAGUAACACGAAAUAAUUCUCUAAAUGCAAGUGUAAAUCAGAUCGAAAACCUCACUGAUAAUUAACGUACCACAUGAAGGAACUGUAGUAACUCAUCAAGAAAAUCCUACAACCCCCACCGUUAAUCUAACACAAGAGCAUAAAAGAAAGAUUAAAAGAUAUAAAAGGAACUCGGCAAACAUGAACUUCGCCUGU